Molecule: transfer RNA, 74 nt
Filed under: Candidatus Atribacteria bacterium
Lineage: Bacteria; Pseudomonadati; Atribacterota; Atribacteria
Also listed under: 2 other names
Description: tRNA-Arg
Rfam family: tRNA
About the family: Transfer RNA (tRNA) molecules are approximately 80 nucleotides in length. Their secondary structure includes four short double-helical elements and three loops (D, anti-codon, and T loops). Further hydrogen bonds mediate the characteristic L-shaped molecular structure. tRNAs have two regions of fundamental functional importance: the anti-codon, which is responsible for specific mRNA codon recognition, and the 3' end, to which the tRNAs corresponding amino acid is attached (by aminoacyl-tRNA synthetases). tRNAs cope with the degeneracy of the genetic code in two manners: having more than one tRNA (with a specific anti-codon) for a particular amino acid; and 'wobble' base-pairing, i.e. permitting non-standard base-pairing at the 3rd anti-codon position.
Source: RNAcentral
GCGCUCGUAGCUCAAUUGGACAGAGCUGUGGACUUCGGAUCCAAAGGCUGGGGGUUCGACUCCCUCCGAGCGCG